Small nucleolar RNA from Cebus imitator (Panamanian white-faced capuchin), 104 nucleotides. RefSeq annotates it as small nucleolar RNA SNORD46. NCBI's taxonomy places the organism in Eukaryota, Metazoa, Chordata, Mammalia, Primates, Cebidae. The record is from RefSeq and is a predicted model, not a curated record. The transcript has a single exon.
CUCGAGAGUGGAGAAAAAGCAUCCCUAGGUGUGGUUGUGGCCAUCUUGGACAGCUGCGUGCCACUUGUCAACACAAGGACUUGUCACAGUUACAGUGACUGUGC